Molecule: long non-coding RNA, 1038 nt
Organism: Helianthus annuus (common sunflower)
Lineage: Eukaryota; Viridiplantae; Streptophyta; Magnoliopsida; Asterales; Asteraceae
Exons: 5
Source: RefSeq, a predicted model, not a curated record
CAAACCUAGUAAUGGAACCAAAUAAGAACCUAACUGAAUUCAUCCAUCCAUUUGUUCAUCUCAGUUCCCCUCCAUAUUUCCAUCACUCUCUCUCUCGCACCUUCAAUCCUUCGUCAACACGAACUCGUGUGGCGAUUUUACGGCCAGCAUUGGAAGCUUCGGCCACCGUAUGAACAACCUACACAAUCGUAUCUUCACCGUCGACAGAUCUCUGGUAAAUAUUUGCGCCUCUCGAAACCCUAAAAUCGCUUAAAACGGAAUCAUGCGACUCGAUUUUUGCUCCGAUCAACUACUGACGCAACAGAGGCUACGAACCUUAUGGUUGCUGCACCAGUUGUAUAAAUCGUACGAGCUUAUCAACAUAGUUAAAUACUAAAGAGAAUGAUGAACUUGUGCCACUUCCGCCUUCAAGUGAGUCAUCAAUAACAAGUCAUUUAUCAAAUGUACAAAAUUCAUCUCAAGAUGAGUCGGAGAAAUAGUAAUUUCAUAUAUUAUUCUGUUAAUUUGUAUUGAUAUUAAGUUCUCUAAUUAUUUUUUGAUUGAUUAAUAACAUUUUUUAAUCAGCCUCAAUGACUAGUGUGUCACCACCGAACCUCUUAGCAUAAAAAACAAGCACGCCUUAGUUUGAUGACAAAUUUUGACGACGACUUCAAUAGCCCUCAGGAUUACCAUACUAGCGACAAACAGAGGAAGUCACACUUGUAGAGCUUGAUGGAGAUGGAGAUUACCGUGUGCCUUUUGAACUUGGAGGUAGUGGUGGAAUGUUGAGAAAAACUAGUUGUUGGAAAUGCGCAAAAGGAUUGAAGAUGAUCGUUAAAGAAAAAAAGCCGAGCUUGAAACUAUGUGAAAAGAGUUUGCUAGCCAGCAACCCAACUUGGAAGCUAUGAUGCGGAAGGUUAUGAAGCAAGUAGUUGGAGAUCGAGAUUAGUAGAAUGUUUUCACUUUUUUAUUAUUGUAAUUUACUGUAAGGUUAUUUAAGUUUCGACAAACAUGUUGAAGUACACACUUUGAUUAUCAAUGAUAUCUUUGUUAUUAUUC